This 592-nucleotide long non-coding RNA is filed under the name Zalophus californianus (California sea lion). Its description in RNAcentral is "lncRNA (ENSZCAG00015004927.1)". The record is from RNAcentral. Lineage: Eukaryota; Metazoa; Chordata; Mammalia; Carnivora; Otariidae.
AAUUCUGGUCAUCCAAUGAUCACUUCAAAAUCCUGUGUCAGGCAGAUAAAAAUCCCAAAGCUUUCAAGCCUGAAAUUCACCUCAUGUAAAAUUUUGUCCUCUAGGAUUUUCCAUCCUGGGCUUCUGUAACAGGGUAUAAGAGGACAUUGAAUCAGGAGGAGGUACAGGAGUACAUGAAGAGAUUAUGGAACAAGUGGAAGAAAGAACAUUUUAACAGUGAGCUACAUCACCCCUGUGUCAUUGGAGAACAUUGCUGCAGGAAAAAAAAUGCUUUGAGAAAUGAAGAUGUGCCCAACUGCAAGAGAAAUUUGGUGUCGGUUUAUGUUGAGAAUAUGGUGCACAAAAAGGAAAUCUAAUGUCUGUGGCAUACAUUUCAGAAAAAAUGGAGGAAAAUAAUUAAAAGCAAAAACAGAAUAAAACAAAAUGUCUAUAAAACGCACCCUGGGUUGUUUCCGAUGCUCCCAGCCCCUCCAAAGAGAACUGAAUUGUCACGGUCUUGUAGUUUCAAUGUCAAGUUUUGAUAGCGAAUUAUCUUCCAGUAGAAAUAACUAAUUGGGCAAAUUUAAAGUUGGACAAAUCAACUAACCCUGCU